AAUGUUAAAACUAACAGCACACAAUCGGUUUUCAUGUACAAAAACUACAAAUAUAACAACAUUAACCAUAAUAUAAAUAUUGUAAUUGUUGAGCAUUGUAAUUUAUAAUAUAUUAUUGUAUAAAUAACUGUUUUUUUUUUUUCAUCACUAUACCUUGUUAAAAACAACAUAAUAAUUUAUCUAAGUGAAAGUUAACCUUGCAUUAUAUCAAUGCUAAUAAUUGAAUUAAAAACGUGAGUAUCUAAAUAAAAGAUUUUGACAAUAAAAAUCAAAUAUCUAAAAAUUAUUCAGAUUUUGACAAAAAUAGUGGGCUUU
This is a non-coding RNA of Cinara cedri, 315 nucleotides long. The record is from the annotation of a GenBank genome assembly. Lineage: Eukaryota; Metazoa; Arthropoda; Insecta; Hemiptera; Aphididae.